AUGCAAGUCGAGGGGCAGCGAGAGGAAAGCUUGCUUCCUGUCGGCGACCGGCGCACGGGUGAGUAACGCGUAUCCAACCUUCCCCAUAGUAGAGGAUAGCCCGGCGAAAGUCGGAUUAAUACUCUAUGUUGUGUCAUGAGGACAUCUGAAUAACACCAAAGAUUUAUCGCUAUGGGAUGGGGAUGCGUCUGAUUAGCUUGUCGGCGGGGUAACGGCCCACCGAGGCGACGAUCAGUAGGGGUUCUGAGAGGAAGGUCCCCCACAUUGGUACUGAGACACGGACCAAACUCCUACGGGAGGCAGCAGUGAGGAAUAUUGGUCAAUGGACGAGAGUCUGAACCAGCCAAGUAGCGUGCAGGAUGACUGCCCUAUGGGUUGUAAACUGCUUUUAUGCGGGAAUAAAGUCAGGUACGUGUACCUGUUUGUAUGUACCGCAUGAAUAAGGACCGGCUAAUUCCGUGCCAGCAGCUGC
This 472-nucleotide ribosomal RNA is filed under the name uncultured bacterium. Its description in RNAcentral is "bacterial SSU rRNA". It matches the Rfam family "Bacterial small subunit ribosomal RNA", at positions 55 to 518 of the family's 1533-position model. The record is from RNAcentral.